This 1381-nucleotide long non-coding RNA is filed under the name Equus asinus (donkey). Its description in RNAcentral is "lncRNA (ENSEASG00005033227.1)". Lineage: Eukaryota; Metazoa; Chordata; Mammalia; Perissodactyla; Equidae. The record is from RNAcentral.
CUGUCCCAAGCUCAUCUCCAGCUAAAUUACUAGGUCUGACCCCAGCCGGGAAGCCAGCUGUAUAAAGGCACCUGGCACCCGCUGCUCCCCGUCCCAGCUGGUAGAUGCCCCACGAUGAGGCUGCUCCUGGUGUUUCUGCUUCUGGCUGUUCUGUGCACUGACCUGGCCAAGCCCAGCGGCAUCCUGGUCAUGAAGUCCUGCACCCCGACGUGCCCCAACAGCACUGUGUCCUCGGAUGGCUGCUCUGUCUCCGUCUCCUGCUGCCAGGGCAACCAGUGCAACCACAGUGGAGCUGCGAGCCUGGCUGGUGGCCAUGGAGCCCUGUGGGUCGGCGCGUCCAUCAGCCUGCUGUGGGCGCUGCUCCAGGCGGCCUGGUGAGCGCAGCUACCACGGGCCAGCCCUGGAUCUGGCCUGUCCCCUCCCAGCCUGGACUCAGGCUGCAGGGGUCUGUCUCCAGCCUGCGAAGCUCCCAGCACAGCCCCAGCCUGGCAGGAAGAGCCCUGUCUCACUUGUCACUCCUCUCUGCUUCCCCCAGGCCACAUCCGCGCCCUCAGCCUCCUACCCCAGGGAGGGACGCUCCCCACCUGCCUCAGGGAACCCACCAAUGUGGAAAGCCAGGGGGGCAUGUCUCCCCCAGGCCUGUACCUCCGAGGGACCCUCAGCUGUCUCCUGGGGUCCUGGGGUCCCCCCUGGCCAUCCGGGAGUAGGAAGAGCACUCCAAUUCUCCCCAGCACCCUCCACCCCUUUUCAGGGCCUUCUGCCAGGGAUUCCUUCCCAUCAAGCCCUGCCUCGAAGGAGACCCCUGUGCCCCAUGGCCACGGGGCCCCUGGGCCUCCUCCUGUGCCUGGAGCCGCCCGUGCAGGAGGAGGCGGGUUGAGGGUUUGGGUGUUGGGUCUCCCAGGCUUUCUAUUCACUCCACCAACCACUCCUGUGCUCCCUCAUUCAUUCAUUCAUUCAUUCAUUCAUCCGUUGGCCCAUGCACUUAUUCCCUCCUUCACUCACAUUCAUUCAUCACAAACCCAUGGGGCUUCCUUGGAGCCAGGUGCCCCUUGGAGCCAGGACCUGCCUCCCAGGCUGUCACUAGGGGCUCAGUGUGUGACCAGUGCCCGAAGUCCAGGGAUGGGACAGGGAGUCCAGAAGGCCACCAGCACCCCUGCCACCCCCUGCCAGCUGAAGGCAGGCCUUUCCAAUGGACCCCUGGCUGCUGGCUGCAGGGUGGACCAAGUCACCUAGGGGACCAGUGUCGGGUGUCGGGAUUGGAGGGGGUGUCCAUUCUCACAAGGCAUGGGUGCCAUCCUACCUCCCCCAGGGGCACCCUCUGCCAGCCCACCUCCCAGGAUCUCUGAGAGGAGAAUAAAGCUGCACGUCCUCCUUGUCCUCA